GAACUGGAUUGGGGUAUUUACUGAGCUUGGUGGGGUAAUAAAACCCACAAAGGCAGUGUCAAUGUUCCAAGUUCUGGCAAGUCGAAAGGGUGCAAUUUUAAGGGACAACGUAGAAGUGAAUAGCAUAAUUAAGGAUGGGGAGAAAGGCGGGAUAUGGGUUUCUGCUGCUAAUGGUGAAAAGUUUUGGGCUAAAAAAUGCAUCAUUACAGCAGGGGCUUGGGCGAGAAAGCUUGUUAAAAGCGUCAGCGGCCUUGAAUUGCCGAUACAAGCAUUGGAGACUACAUUGUGUUAUUGGAGAAUUAAGGAAGGCCAUGAAUCUGAGUUUGCUAUAGGAAGUGAUUUUCCAAGUUUUUCUAGCUGCGGCAAACAACAUGUAUACGGCACGCCGUCCUUGGAGUUCCCCGGUUUAAUUAAGGUUGCCUCGCACGAUGGCUACCCUUGUGAUCCUGACAAAAGACCAUGGGGACCUGCCAAGUCGUUGAGUUAUUUGAAAGAAUGGAUUGAGAAGAUAUUUUCAGGGCUUGUUGAUCAUGAAAGGCCAGUUGCUAGUCAAUCGUGCUUGUACUCCAUGACCCCAGAUGAAGACUAUGUGAUAGAUUUUCUGGGUGGGGAGUUUGGGAAGGAUGUGGUUAUCGGCGCUGGCUUUUCAGGUCAUGGGUUCAAGAUGGCUCCAUUGGUGGGAAGGAUUUUAGCGGACAUGGCUCUUUGUGGGGAGGCUAAAGGAGUGAAUCUCAAGCACUUCAGGAUACAAAGAUUUCAAGAGAAUCCUAAAGGGAAUGUCAAGGACUUCUGAACAUCGAAUUGGCUUUUCUUCCAAUCACAAGUAGGUAAUGUAGCAAAAUAGGACUUCUAUUGCCAUUGGUACCUAUGGUCCAUGUCCUCUAUCCCAUCAGGAUUCUAGCUAUGAAAUAAAUUAUUUAUUUUAUUACAAAUG
RNAcentral lists this unclassified non-coding RNA (934 nucleotides) under Hevea brasiliensis (rubber tree). The record is from RNAcentral. Lineage: Eukaryota; Viridiplantae; Streptophyta; Magnoliopsida; Malpighiales; Euphorbiaceae.